GUCCAGGUGGUGUCUGCUGAGUCUCCUGGUCACAUUGCCGUCCUUCCUCUGUAGUGGAUAAUCGUCCUGGAGACACUGGGAGACCAAAUCCUGAUUCUCCUGGAACUUCUCUGAUUUUGGCAUCCAUGGGGGUCUUGUCAGCAGCAAUCAGUUCCGUGGACUUUGCCUCAUGAAACAAAACCUGCUUUCCUUGAGACUUGCUUUCUUGUAUUUGCUUGAAGACAACGCGACCUCUCAGCGUGGCAAUCCCAGAAGCAGGUCACUGGACAACUUGUUAAUUUUGAGCACGGUGACUGGGAUUUCAAGGAUUCGGUUUGCAGUGCCACAAACAAAGUGAGCCACUGGGAGGCAGCAGAGGCCUUGGAGGGGAGGUGCAUCUGGCAGCCACAGAGCUCAUUGCGGGACUACCCACAGGCACGCGGAGCAUCUUUGCCUUGUGGAGCCUGGCACCAGGACUGCUGGGAGGGGAAGAGGCUCAGCCCCCACACCCGGGGAACCUAUGCCACACCGGGGCCCUCUCCAGCCUCACUGGCAGUGUCUCUGGGACCACUCCCCAGAUUACUUGUCCUGGGGUCAGCUCGGGCAGGGAGGCAGAGUAGCCCUACAAGCCCUCUGCAAACACACACAUGCUCUCACCACAAACAGAGUAGAACCGCACCACAUGGAUUCUGCAUAACACCACACUGGGGCCCUGGAUGUUUCCCCCUCAUCCACCUUGUUUUGAAUGUAGAACGAAGUCCAAAGUUUUUCUUCUAACAGUUCCAGGCAGGCUGGCAUAUCGAAUCAAUCCAAACCCAGUCUGCCUGUCCUCAGGUCCCCUCUGCACCACAAAGCCCAGGCAGUAUGAUCACCAUUUGCCAGAGGCCCUCACAGCUGGGCCUUCACCUGCGACCUGGGUUCCACACACUGCUUUACCUGAAUGAAGCUGGGGGGCAGAAUUGGCCAACGAGAGGUGCAGCCACACGGGAGUGGCCUGGGCCUUCGGGAAAGCCUUUAGACAUUGUGUGGACUGUAGAGAAGCUCCUGGGGCCCAGUGCCAGUGUUGCUCGUGCUUGGGCACCUCUCCUGCCGCAUCAUCCCUGGCAGUGACGUCCACCGGCUCUCAGCCCAGAUGGGGAGACCAUCGGUCUUUAUCUCUGAGUAAAACUCGAUCUGCUUCCACCUGCUGGUGGGGAUUCUGUGGUCUGCAACUAAGCCUCUGAAACCGAGGGCAGGAUAGGAGGGACGUGGAGUGGGCGCUACGUGGUGGGUGCUUGACACUCCUUCCUGGUUGUGUGACCGUGAGCCAGUGACAGCCUAAGCAGAGGGAGCUGUGAUGAAGCUUGUAGCUGUAGCGCGCCUGGGCCCCAGCCUUGCAGCUCCAGGGGUGGAGCUCUUCCAGGAACAAACUCUUCUCUGCCACUCUGUGGACAGAAGGCCCUGUCCACGUAGGGGGCUCUCACUGCCAUUCACAUGCCUUGACCCUUCACUCCCUUCGUGAGAUUCAGAGCAGCCCUUCUGAGAACAAAGCGCAGUGAACAUCUCUGGAGACACCAAAGUCCCCUCGAGUGAGAAACAGACUCCUGAACGCAGGUUUUCAGGAUGUGAACCCCGGCCCAGAGCCUUACCCAUGGAUGAGGUGCCCAUGCAGUCCCCAGGGUGCCUUUGACCUCUUAUUCUGUAACUUCACAUUUCAAUUAAAGUGUUGAGGGAAGAUGGCCAUGACCAACACC
This is a long non-coding RNA of Pan troglodytes (chimpanzee), 1712 nucleotides long. RefSeq lists it as uncharacterized. NCBI's taxonomy places the organism in Eukaryota, Metazoa, Chordata, Mammalia, Primates, Hominidae. The transcript has 3 exons. The record is from RefSeq and is a predicted model, not a curated record.